RNAcentral lists this unclassified non-coding RNA (383 nucleotides) under Hevea brasiliensis (rubber tree). Lineage: Eukaryota; Viridiplantae; Streptophyta; Magnoliopsida; Malpighiales; Euphorbiaceae. The record is from RNAcentral.
AUUUGCAUGGAAAAUUCAGAGGGAUAUGGCAGAGCGCGGUCACAGCCUUGAAAGCAUCAAGGCUAGUAUCGAAGCCAGGAAACCAGAUUUUGAUGCCUUCAUUGAUCCCCAGAAGCAAUAUGCUGAUGCAGUGAUUGAAGUUCUGCCAACCCAGCUUAUUCCUGAUGACAAUGAAGGAAAGGUGCUACGUGUUAAAUUGAUCAUGAAAGAAGGUGUAAAGAACUUCAACCCAGUUUACCUCUUCGACGAAGGAUCAAGCAUCACCUGGGUCCCUUGUGGAAGAAAACUCACAUGUUCUUAUCCUGGCAUCAAAUUUGCCUAUGGCCCAGACACUUACUUUGGGCAUGAGGUAUCAGUGCUGGAGAUGGAUGGCCAAUUUGACA